GGUCCCGCCUGCCCAGUGAAACUCUUUCAACGGCCGCGGUAUUCUAACCGUGCAAAGGUAGCGUAAUCACUUGUCUUCUAAAUAAAGACCAGUAUGAACGGCUAAAUGAGGACGGGCCUGUCUCUUAUGACUAAUCAGUGAAACUGAUCUCCCAGUUCAAAAGCUGGGAUAACUACAUAAGACGAGAAGACCCUGUGGAGCUUAAAAUAAACCGCUAACAAACACCACGCUAUAGCACACAUUUUAAGUUGGGGCGACUUCGGAAAAAAACAAAACUUCCGAGCACAGAACCACCACUUCUCCAACAGGCCAACAAGCCAAAAUUAAAGCUGACCCGGCCAAACCGAUCAACGAACCAAGUUACCCCAGGGAUAACAGCGCUAUCUUCUUCAAGAGUCCCUAUCAACAAGAAGGUUUACGACCUCGAUGUUGGAUCAGGACACCCAAAUGGUGCAGCCGCUAUUAAGGGUUCGUUUGUUCAACGAUUAACAGUCCUACGUGAUCUG
RNAcentral lists this ribosomal RNA (506 nucleotides) under Chioninia spinalis spinalis. RNAcentral describes it as "partial 16S ribosomal RNA". It matches the Rfam family "Bacterial large subunit ribosomal RNA", at positions 1851 to 2607 of the family's 2925-position model. Lineage: Eukaryota; Metazoa; Chordata; Lepidosauria; Squamata; Scincidae. The record is from RNAcentral.